GAUAGCACUCGGCAGUAAAUGAAGGUAGACAAAACCGGCAUGUAGGCUUACUGGGUUGGAUGUUUUCUUUUCCCCAGGUUGUCCUUGAGAUUCCAACUCUUCCUAAUUGGCCCCGGGGGAGAGAGGCGAGCUUGGCUCCUAUCAGAGGAAGACAGAGUUGUUGAGUGUCCAAAUGAAACCAGCAAACCAGCGAUGGUGUCUGAGGAUUCAGACAACUGGUCUGAGGUGAGCCAAAAGAAAAAAGAAAGGCUCACAAGUUUUCAAGGAUGCAGCUAUCAUGGAUCCAUGCCACAAAAUCGUUCAUUGCCUACUCAGCCCAUUGCAUCACUAAAGAUUGUUCUCAGGCCCUGAGUUUUGCUUCAAGCAUAUUAUCAUCUUAAAAUUUUACUUUCCUAGACUUACAUAAAUUGAUACAGAGUAAAAUAAGUAGAACCAGGGGAACAUCGUACACAGUAACAGCGCUAUGAUGGAAUGAUCAGCUGUGAUCAGCAAUACAAUGAUCCAGGACAAUUCUGAAGGACUUACAACAAAGAAUGCUAUGUACCUCCAAAGAAAGAACUGUUGGAGUUGAAAUGAAGAUGAAAGCAUGCAUUUUUCACUGGUUUAUUUGGGGGUUUUAGUUUUUUAUGAUUAUUCACUUACAAAAUUAUUCAUAUGAUUGUUCACUUACAAAAAUGAACAGUAUAGAAAUAGGUUUUGCAAAAUAAUACAUGUAUAACCCAGACUGAAUUACUUGCCAUCUUUGAGAGGGGGAAGAGAAGGGAGGAAAGGAGACAAUUUGGAUUAUAUAACUUCAGAAAACAUGUGGAAAUUUAUUAUUACAUGUAAUUGGUAAAUAAAUAACUUUUUUUUAAAAUUUCCUUUCCUUUCCUCUGCAUCCUCCAGUAUAUAAAAUAAAAUACUGUCAUUGAAAGCCCUUCAUACCUCUUCCUGCCUUUCCACUGUUCUUACACCUUACUUUUUUCCACAUACUCUGAUCCGGUGGCACUGAACUCCUUGCUUUUCCUCAUACGAAACAUUGUGUUACUUGUCUUCAUACUUCCUUACUGUCUGUUCUUUUUGCCUAGACCUCUCUGCUUCAUCAACUCUGCCUUGGGGCUUCCAUGACUUUCUUCAAGUCUCAACUAAUUUCUGCAAGAAGCCAUCCCUGACCCUCUUUAAUCUUAGUUCCUUCCCUCUGAAAUUAUUUCUGCUUUAUCCUGUUGUCAUCUUGUUUGUGCAAAGUUGUUAGCAUGUUGUCUCCUUUAUUAGACUGUGAGCUCCUUGAGAGCAGGGACUCUGGUUUUAAAAAAUUUUUCUUUAUACUCCAAAUGCUUAGCAUAGUGCUUGAGACAUAAUUCUUUCUUUCUUUCUUUGUUUUUUUUUUAAACCCUUACCUUCCAUCUUGGAGUCAAUACCGUGUAUUGGCUCCAAGGCAGAAGAGUGGUAAGGGCUAGGCAAUGGGGGUCAAGUGACUUGCUCAGGGUCACACAGCUAGGAAGUGGCUGAGGUCAAAUUUGAACCUAGGACCUCCCAUCUCUAGGCCUGGUUCUCAAUCCACUGAGUUACCCAGCUGCCCCCCAUAAUUCUUUCUUAAUAAAUGCUUGUUGGUUUUACUUUCAUCAAGCUAGUGACAGUAUCUUGAGUGAAUUAUAAGAUUUAGAUCAGAAAAGGAACUUUAGAGAUUAAUUAGUUGAACCUUCCUUUGAUAUCCAGAAGAGUGAGGCAAGUCCUGUUCUCUUCCUCUGUUUCCUGAACAAGGCAUCAAAUGUGAAGUUCCAUAGAUUAAUCCAAACUUUAGAUAAAUUGGUCCAUUUCAGUCCAGAGUUGUAGUUCUGGGCCACAGAUUCCACACUGAUAAGCCAAUUUUAUCAAAGGGGGUUUCAUAACUUGCUCUAGCUUACACAGCCAAUAGGUAGCCCAGACAGAAUUUAGACCCGAGUCUUUUGACUCUAAAUGCAGUGUUCUUUCCAUUACUUCAUGAACCUUCUGUCUUUUGUAAACCUUAAAAUUUCUUAGACUUAUGAAUGUUGGAAAUUUCCCCAUUGGGAAAUUUCAUACUUGAAAAAAUCUCCUACUGAUAGUAAGAACUCUAUUGGAAUAUGAAACUCCUUGGCAUGGGAGGGUCCUUCUCCUCCCUACUUAAGACUACUUUAGGACAGAAACCUUUUGCUAAACAAUGGAAAGGGCUUUGACCUAUGCUUAAGCAUAGAACAGGAAGUUCUUUGAGUCAUGAUUGAUUUUAGAAUUGAUACAAUAGAGAUACUUGGAAUGACAGAACCAGGUCUUGGAACUUACAAUCUCCACCUUGCUCAGAGUAACAGGAUUUAGGAAGGGCUGCAACAAAGAUCAAGAUUUAAUUAUUUGAGAAUAUGACCUUCAACAGACAUGUGCAAAGGAAACAGACCUCUGGGUGGUCCUGGGUUAAGCUAGAGCCACCAUUGGCACAAGGGAGACAUCGACAGUGAUUGGUAGAUGUGAGAACUGAGGGGAGGGGACUUCAUGGUUUGAAAAAAGAUAGUGGGGCCUGAGGAGGAGGAGGAGGUUUUGCUCUGAGAGGUUUUGCUCUGAAGGAGGCUGGAGGUGGAGGCCCCUGAGACCGUUUCUCCAUUUUGGUCACGUGAGUGAUAGGGACUGAUCUCUUUUCUUUGCCCCAGCUAUCUAAGGGCUUGGGCCUUUGGCCCAGCCUAAGCAGAGGGGGUAUUUAAGCCCUAUUCCCUUCUCUCCCCUUUCUCUCUCUCUCUCUCUCUCUCUCUCUCUCUCUCUCUCUCUCUCUCUCUCUCACAUACCUUUCUUCCUCCUGUUUGUAAUUAAAAACUCCAUAAAAAGUUGACUGCUGACUUGAGUUUUCAUUUAGGAAUUACAUAGCUGAAUUCCUUGGCGACCUUAAAUUAAUAUAUAUCAGUCUUUUAAAGUGAUUUCCAUAUCACACUUUUCAAUGUCUCUUCUUCACUCUGAGUUUUGGUCAUCUUCCACUCUAUAAUACUGACUAGUUCACUAGCCUCUCUGCCUCGAAUCUUGCUUCUUCUACUUCAGUCAGCAUGCUCUACCCUAAAUGAGGAGUGUGGUAGAAAUCAAAUUACAAAGGGGGUCACUAAACCCAUUCCUAAGGAUCCCAGAGGACUACACAUAUUAACCUAAAAAAUACAAAUUAGCAUUAUCUAGGUUUAUAGUAUUUUUAUUUAUUUUGUUAAAUAUUUUUCUUUAUUGCAUUUUUUAUUUUAAUAAUCAAUUUCCACAUAAGUUUCCCAAAGUCAUGUGAUCCAUAUUGGGUGCCUCCCUUCUUUCCUACCCUUUCCCAGAGCUGAUCAUUGAUUCACUCUGGGCUAUACAUGUAUUAUCAUGCAAAACAUUGUUAAAUAUUUUUCAAAUACAUUUUAAUACAAUUCUGGUCAAACUCCAGAGUGUUGUGAGCCACUGGCUAAUUAGGUAUUUGUCUCUGUUUGAAACAGUAUUCUUCCUGAUGAUAAGAUUAUGUUAGUCUCUUAGGGCAACUAAGUGACUCAGUGGGUAGAAUGCCAGGCCUGGAGAUGGGAGGUCCUGGGUUCAAAUGUGACCUCAGACACUUCCUAGCUGUACAAAUUUGGGGAAGUCACCUACCCUCAAUUGCCUACCUCUUAUUGCUCUUCAGCCUUGGAACCAAGACUUAGUAUGGCUUUUAAGAUAUAAAGUAAAGGUUAAAAAAAAAAAGACUACAUUAGUCCUUCCUCUCCCUAGAUCCUUUCUCCUAUAUAGUAUUCUGGGUUUUUUUAAAUUCACUUUCCUUUUGUAGCUCAAAAGAUGAUGUCCUAGAGUUAAUAUGAAAGGCUCAUCUUUUCAUCAUAUCUUUUGCCUGAAUUUGUACAGGAACCUUAAGAACUCAAUGAAGGGUUUCCUGGGCUUUGUUCUUUUGCCUAAAGCCUUUCUAAAGGAGCACGUUUUUGUUGGUUUUUUUCAAUGAAGUGAUGUGGUAGAUGAAAUUUAUUACUCACAUUGCUCGACUCCCAAAUCUUUAGAGGUACAAUCGUCUCAAGUACAGACUGUUCUGAGAACUGACAUCAUCCAAUUCAAUUGGAAGCAGAAAUCUUCAACAACGGGAACCAAAGUUCCAGCGAUUUAAUAGUCUGCUGUUUGUAUUUCGGUUUAAGUGCUCUAAAAGGAGUAGAAAACUUUUUAGAAUAAAGCAACAACAACCCACAGAAAGCCCCAGGUACAAUAAGUAAAAGAAAUAGGAGUUUUAGAGGUUAAAAUUCCCCCAAAGUAUGAACAGCUAAACAAUCACCAACAAAGGGUAAAUAAAUCACAACUGCUUUGCCCCCAGUUCUCCAUUCUUUUUGUAUAACCUCUGGCAGGCCAAGAAAGGAAUACCAUAUGGCAUGGUUUAGAGUGGUUAGAAGAUAACCACAUAACCCUGGCAUGUAACGAACUGGGAGAGCCAGAAGCCAGCCCUCAGUAAGAAGUGUGGUUACUUCACAGCAACCAAAUACCCAGGGAUGCGUUCUCGUGUUCCACAAGCCUCUCUGGGCCCCAGCUCUCAAGCCUUGUUGAUGCACUAGGAAUUCAGUAGAGAGGAUUUCAGCAUCUGGCCACCUGUGGUCCAGGGCUGAAAUGUUCUAACGUGUGCUGAUUGCACGGUCAAGAUAGCCUAGGGAGAGAGGUGGGAAUGUGAUCAUGAUCUGUGGUUCUGGAACGUGUUUCUGAUGUGGGAUGGCAUUAACCAUCAUUCCCAAAUCAGAGCAAGUUCCACGGCAGAGCCAUACAGUAUUUCCUUUGUUUUUGACCCAAGUCUCCUGACAUUUCUAUGUUUCUAUUGACAUAACAUUUAACAGGCAGCAAUUUUAGAGUCAGCUUCCUAAGGUAUUUUUUUGAAGUGGAGUUGGUUUAAGUGAACAUUUUUAUGUUUUAAGUUCAUGUGAAGUUAUUUCUGAAGAGUUCCUUUCUUUUAUUCCUUAUCUAUAAAGUGAGGGAGUUAGACUAGAUGAUUUCUGAAGUCCCUUUUACCUCUAACAUUUUUCGCCCUGUGAAUCUAGCAACCCAUGAUUAAAGGUCCCUUUCUGAUCUGAAAUUAAAGGAUUCUGUUUCUAAAUUGCACUCUUACUCCUUUUGUAGCAGCACUUUUGCUCCCAAGAAACAAGAAUUAAGCCAAAAAACACAAAGUUGUACAAGUGUUGCCACCUAUAGGGAGAAAAUGUAUUGCAUUUGCCUAAUAAAAACAAAAAGAAAACAGAUAUUAAUU
Molecule: non-coding RNA, 5194 nt
Organism: Monodelphis domestica (gray short-tailed opossum)
Lineage: Eukaryota; Metazoa; Chordata; Mammalia; Didelphimorphia; Didelphidae
Source: RefSeq, a predicted model, not a curated record